AUGGCGCCGAAGAAGACGCCGAAGGGCAAGUCGGGCUUCUUCGGCGUGAGGCAGAAGCCCUUCGGCAACUGGGGUGUGGAGUUCUCCGACGCCGGAAGGCGUUGGUGGAUCGACACGUACCCCUCCGCCCACGAGGCCGCGCGUGCCUACGACGCGGCGGUGUGGCGUGCCGAGAGGCCUCGGUCGCACCUCAACUUUCCAGAGAUCGAGAGUCGGGCGGAAGCGGAGAUGCUUGUGCCGCAGGGCAUCAACAUGAAGGAGAUCACGACAAAGAAGAAGAAGAAGAAGCCGUCGGUUGUCGUCAGUGCUGGCGAGACCGAUGAGGAGGCGAUGGCGAGGUUUGCUUGGGAGCAUCCGGAGUACGUCCAGGCCGAGCUGGAGUACUACUGGAAGCGUGAGGCGAAGCAGAAGAAGAAGGGGCCGAAGAAGGAGGAUGAGGCCGGUCCCUCGACGCUGAUCCCCAUCGAGUCCUCUUCUGAGGAGGACUGGGCAGACUUCUCGGAGGAGGAGGAGGAGGAGGGGUGCGACGACCCGACGAAGGAGGAGUUCUGGGAGCAGUUCCGUAGCUCCGAUGAGGAGUAG
This 582-nucleotide ribosomal RNA is filed under the name Triticum aestivum (bread wheat). Its description in RNAcentral is "partial small subunit ribosomal RNA". Lineage: Eukaryota; Viridiplantae; Streptophyta; Magnoliopsida; Poales; Poaceae. The record is from RNAcentral.